AGUUAAUAAGCUUAUGAUAAGCUUAUGUUUUGAAAACAUAAAAUAGAAGUUUAAAUCUUCUAUUAACUU
RNAcentral lists this transfer RNA (69 nucleotides) under Lentula callani. Its description in RNAcentral is "tRNA-Ser". It matches the Rfam family "tRNA". Rfam says of the family: Transfer RNA (tRNA) molecules are approximately 80 nucleotides in length. Their secondary structure includes four short double-helical elements and three loops (D, anti-codon, and T loops). Further hydrogen bonds mediate the characteristic L-shaped molecular structure. tRNAs have two regions of fundamental functional importance: the anti-codon, which is responsible for specific mRNA codon recognition, and the 3' end, to which the tRNAs corresponding amino acid is attached (by aminoacyl-tRNA synthetases). tRNAs cope with the degeneracy of the genetic code in two manners: having more than one tRNA (with a specific anti-codon) for a particular amino acid; and 'wobble' base-pairing, i.e. permitting non-standard base-pairing at the 3rd anti-codon position. Lineage: Eukaryota; Metazoa; Arthropoda; Insecta; Orthoptera; Lentulidae. The record is from RNAcentral.